This 967-nucleotide ribosomal RNA is filed under the name Cordyceps cicadae. Its description in RNAcentral is "SSU rRNA". It matches the Rfam family "Eukaryotic small subunit ribosomal RNA", at positions 94 to 1071 of the family's 1831-position model. The record is from RNAcentral. Lineage: Eukaryota; Fungi; Ascomycota; Sordariomycetes; Hypocreales; Cordycipitaceae.
UGGCUCAUUAUAUAAGUUAUCGUUUAUUUGAUAGUACCUUACUACUUGGAUAACCGUGGUAAUUCUAGAGCUAAUACAUGCUAAAAAUCCCGACUUCGGAAGGGAUGUAUUUAUUAGAUUAAAAACCAAUGCCCUCUGGGCUCCUUGGUGAUUCAUGAUAACUCUUCGAAUCGCACGGCCUUGCGCCGGCGAUGGUUCAUUCAAAUUUCUUCCCUAUCAACUUUCGAUGUUUGGGUAUUGGCCAAACAUGGUUGCAACGGGUAACGGAGGGUUAGGGCUCGACCCCGGAGAAGGAGCCUGAGAAACGGCUACUACAUCCAAGGAAGGCAGCAGGCGCGCAAAUUACCCAAUCCCGAUUCGGGGAGGUAGUGACAAUAAAUACUGAUACAGGGCUCUUUUGGGUCUUGUAAUUGGAAUGAGUACAAUUUAAAUCUCUUAACGAGGAACAAUUGGAGGGCAAGUCUGGUGCCAGCAGCCGCGGUAAUUCCAGCUCCAAUAGCGUAUAUUAAAGUUGUUGUGGUUAAAAAGCUCGUAGUUGAACCUUGGGCCUGGCUGGCCGGUCCGCCUCACCGCGUGCACUGGUCCGGCCGGGCCUUUCCCUCUGUGGAACCCCAUGCCCUUCACUGGGCGUGGCGGGGAAACAGGACGUUUACUUUGAAAAAAUUAGAGUGCUCCAGGCAGGCCUAUGCUCGAAUACAUUAGCAUGGAAUAAUGAAAUAGGACGCGUGGUUCUAUUUUGUUGGUUUCUAGGACCGCCGUAAUGAUUAAUAGGGACAGUCGGGGGCAUCAGUAUUCAAUUGUCAGAGGUGAAAUUCUUGGAUUUAUUGAAGACUAACUACUGCGAAAGCAUUUGCCAAGGAUGUUUUCAUUAAUCAGGAACGAAAGUUAGGGGAUCGAAGACGAUCAGAUACCGUCGUAGUCUUAACCAUAAACUAUGCCGACUAGGGAUCGGACGAUGUUAUUUUUU